UGGCAGUUAGGCUGCCUGGGUUCAAAUUUAGUUCUUUCAUUUGCUAGCUGUGCGAUGUCAGGUUCGAUGCAUGAGACGUGCACACCAAAAGCUUUCAUGUCCCGUCUGUGAAAAGAACCCAUUGAAGAUGUUUAAUCCAGCAGUGUCAAGAGGGUAUUUUGGAUGACUUGUCUCCUCACCCACUCAUGAAAAUAACACACAAUCUAUGGACAAGUGGCUUUAACCCCAUCUAAGCUUACUAGCACCACUCAGCGGAGUGUCUCUGUUUGCAUCUCCAGUCCCUUUCUCCACCCUUCUGCCUGCACCUCAUCCUGGGAGGCUGACCUGAAUUAACUAUACUCUGGCUUCUGUCAACUAUAGAAGGUACAGUCGACUGGAAGUGCCAGUGGGAGAUCAGGAGGAGAGAGGAGAAGAAGUCCGGCUAGUUCUCCUCCUGUGGUGUCAACACUGGUUAUUUUACCCCUCAACUGAAGUCAAUAGCCUCUAUGUCUCCAGGAUCUGGAAACUGCCCUGUCUCCUCGUCUUUUCAGUCCUGUGGAUAAAAAGGCCUCUGCUGUCAUUAGCCCCUCGAUUCUACACUAUCCUUUGGGAUUUCCCUAAAAACUUCCCACAUGUUUGGAAAUAGUCCUUUAAGCAAACUCUGUUUCCUUUACCCAAGGCUAAUGUGCCACUGUUUCCUACCAGAACGUUGACUGAGAGAACCGCUUGCAAUUUAGAGACUUUGAACUGAUAGUUAGUUGUAAGUUCUGGUUCCAGGUAAGAUGGAUUAAUCACACUCCACCCGCCACGCCCCGUCUCUCUCAUUGAAUGCAGCUGUAAAACUCAGACAGACUGCAUGGAGCAGGUAUUGAGUAACUGAUACUACUGCAUCUGCAGCUGACAGUAACACCAAUGGAGAGACCUACCCUGAUUUAGCCUCUUCAUAUGAUUCCCUAACUCUUUGCCACACUGAGCAGUUGAAUAUAAAUUCACUGUCACUAUCAGCAUCACUCAUUAAUGUGAAAAGUAAAAAAAGAGUUAGAUAGA
Long non-coding RNA from Lemur catta (Ring-tailed lemur), 1026 nucleotides. RefSeq lists it as uncharacterized. The transcript is spliced from 4 exons. The record is from RefSeq and is a predicted model, not a curated record. NCBI's taxonomy places the organism in Eukaryota, Metazoa, Chordata, Mammalia, Primates, Lemuridae.